AUGGAUCCCACGGUACCACCUGCGUCCGUCGUCGAUGGUCAGCUCGCCGCGGAACCCUCCCCUCCUGGGAUGUGCCGGUGGCGCUCCGUGGAUGGGCUCCUCCUCCCCAGGCCGCACCCAAUCUGCAUGUGUCGACAGCCGCCGGUUAGUGCUCUUUCUUCCCCCCUUCCCGGAACCGGAGGGGAUCUCGGAGAAGCAAACAGGAUCGGUGUUCUGGCAGAAAAGAUCCUUCUUUUAGCAUAUAACAACAACAACAAGCCCGAGUCUUAUCCAGAUUUGGUCCAAGUUCUGAUGCCACAAGCCUCAGGGAGUCAAAAUCUAGUGAUUUCCUUGGCCUACUCGGAUCUGCUUCACCUACUCGGUUUAGGAGCGAGGCAACCUCGGUUGGUGAUCUAUAAAUAUGAACACAACCUUGUCUGCCCUCUUUGUGCUCUACCCAAGUUGUUAUUUUGCAAGUAUUUCAGCAGAAGCAGUCCAUCUUCCAACAGAGAUUGUACUCCCACGGCUGCCCCUAGUAUAGCCAUGGUAAUGAACUUCGGGGCACUACCAGUUUUAUCUAAGCUGCUAGGUCUCUCUCCACCCAGUUUACUGAAGAAGAAGACACUACUGAUAGAUACUGCGGUGGGCACACUUCCUGAACUACCAGAAGACAUCUUGAUGCAUGUCUUUGCCACUCUUGAGAUCCCUGACCUUGUGCGUGCUGGCUCUGUCUGCACCUUAUGGCACUCUGCCUACACCACACUGUGCAACCUCGGGAAGUACAAGCAGACCCAGACGCCUUGCCUGCUCUACACCUCUGAAUCUGCUGGUGAGAACGUUGCAUGCCUCUACAGCCUAGUGGAGAAGAGGGUUUACAGGUUAACCCUCCCGGAGCCACCUCUCAGCAGUAGGUUUUUGAUUGGGUCCUCACUCGGCUUCCUGGCAACCGUCGAUGAUAGAUCUGAAAUGCACCUCGUCAAUCCUAUCACUGGUCAACAGAUUGCUCUCCCUUCAGUGACCACCAUGGAGUACGUGAAGCCCAUCUUUGAUGACUUGGGUGUUGUCCACAAGUAUGAAUACCCAAGUCACUCUGCAAGACGAGCUUUCUUCACGCCAUCGAUUCUCGCUGGUUGUGAGCUGCGGGAAUGCCUCCAGAUCAAGGCGUUUGUGUUUCAUGAUACAUCCACAGGAAGAUACAUCGUGGUGCUCAUCCACGAGCCAUACAAUCACCUCUCGUUUGCAAGAGUAGGGGAUGAUAAGUGGACCUUGCUGCCACCACACCAUCACUAUCAGGACUGCACCUACAAGGAUGGCUUGUUGUACGCAGUGGAUAUAAAGGGAGAAAUCCAUGCCUUCGAUCUUAGUGGUCCUGCUGUUACAAUGAAGAUUAUUAGAGGAGUCGAUGAGGAUUUUUAUCCUGAUGCCAUAUACAUUGUUGAGGCCCCAUGGGGUGGUCUGCUGCUUGUUUCAAGAUUUAAAGAGUUCGAGGAUCCUGAUGAAGAUGGUGACCCUGAAAUAUAUGUUCCGCAUACUACGGAAAUCAAAUUACACAGAAUUGAUGAUGGCACAGAGAGGCUUGUGGAAAUUGAUUGCUUGCCUGACCAUGUGCUGUUUCUUGGACACAACGAUCCACUUUGUCUGAGUGCCAAAGAUUACCCUGCUCUCAAGGGAAAUCAUGCCUACUUCACUGACGAUGAUGAGUACAAUAAAAACCGUAAGAGUAGUCCUCGUGAUAUUGGAGUAGUUGGCUUGGGCAAUAAUAGCGAGGUGGACCUUGUGUCUCCUCUGCUUUGGUCCAACUGGCCUUCUCCAGUGUGGCUUACACCCAGCCUUACGGUGAUGAAACUGCCAUCGAAUGACCGUUGGCUCAGUGAAUGGGAUCAUGUACUCUCCAGACCAUCACCGACUGAGGCUACGGUAGGCACUACACUCCUGGAGCUACCAGAGGACAUCAUGAUGCGUGUCUUUGCCACCCUUGAGAUCCCUGACCUCGUACGUGCUGGUGCUGUCUGCACCUUUUGGCGCUCUGCCUACACCGCCCUGCGCAAACUCGGCACACACAAGCAACCCCAGAUGCCGUGCCUGCUCUACUGCUCUGAAUCUUCCAGCGAGAAUGUUGCCUGUCUCUACAGCCUCGUGGAGAAGAGGGUUUACAGGCUAACUCUCCCGGAGCCGCCUCUCCACAGUAGGUUUCUGAUUGGGUCCUCUCUCGGGUUGCUGGUCACCGUCGAUGAGAGAUCUGAAAUGCACCUCGUCAAUCCGAUCACUGGUCAACAGAUUGCUCUCCCUUCAGUGACCACCAUGCAGCAUGUGAAGCCCAUGUGUGAUGACUCAGGUGCUGUCCACAAGUAUUAA
This 2334-nucleotide ribosomal RNA is filed under the name Triticum aestivum (bread wheat). RNAcentral's name for it is "partial small subunit ribosomal RNA". The record is from RNAcentral. Lineage: Eukaryota; Viridiplantae; Streptophyta; Magnoliopsida; Poales; Poaceae.